RNAcentral lists this small RNA (115 nucleotides) under Marmota monax (woodchuck). Lineage: Eukaryota; Metazoa; Chordata; Mammalia; Rodentia; Sciuridae. The record is from RNAcentral.
GCUGGGUAUGGUGGCACAAGCUUGUAGUCCCAGCUACUUGGGAGGCUGAAGUGGGAGGAUUGGUUGAGCCUGAGUUCAAAGACAGUCUGGGCAACACAGCCAGACCCUGUUGCUG